This 39-nucleotide unclassified non-coding RNA is filed under the name Drepanolejeunea levicornua. Its description in RNAcentral is "trnL-trnF intergenic spacer". Lineage: Eukaryota; Viridiplantae; Streptophyta; Jungermanniopsida; Porellales; Lejeuneaceae. The record is from RNAcentral.
CUAUUUAUAAAAUUUUGUUCCAAUUUUAUAAAUUCAAAU